This is a long non-coding RNA of Melanotaenia boesemani (Boeseman's rainbowfish), 461 nucleotides long. RefSeq lists it as uncharacterized. The transcript is spliced from 4 exons. Lineage: Eukaryota; Metazoa; Chordata; Actinopteri; Atheriniformes; Melanotaeniidae. The record is from RefSeq and is a predicted model, not a curated record.
UCUCAGGUAUCAGAGGGUGGAGUAGAACCUGGACAGGUCAGCUGUCUCAGGUAUCAGAGGGUGGAGUAGAAGCUGCUGUCUCAGGUAUCAGAGGGUGGAGUAGACCAUGCUGUCUCAGGUAUCAGAGGGUGGAGUAGAACCUGGACAGGUCAGAUGUCUCAGGUAUCAGAGGGUGGAGUAGAACCUGUUGUCUCAGGUAUCAGAGGGUGGAGUAGACCAUGCUGUCUCAGGUAUCAGAGGGUGGAGUAGAACUUGGACAGGUCAGAUGUCUCAGGUAUCAGAGGGUGGAGUAGAACCUGCUGUCUCAGGUAUCAGAGGGUGGAGUAGAACCUGCUGUCUCAGGUAUCAGAGGGUGGAGUAGAAGCUGCUGUCUCAGGUAUCAGAGGGUGGACUAAAACCUGCUGUCUCAGGUAUCAGAAGGUGGAGUAGAACCUGGACAGGUCAGAAGUCUCACGCAUCAG